Molecule: long non-coding RNA, 256 nt
Organism: Herpailurus yagouaroundi (jaguarundi)
Lineage: Eukaryota; Metazoa; Chordata; Mammalia; Carnivora; Felidae
Exons: 2
Source: RefSeq, a predicted model, not a curated record
UUGCCUCUCCACAGGCACUGUCCCUUAUCUGGACUCUGCCACAGCCUCUCCUCCUCCACUGCCAUGAAGAUCUUAAAGGAGCAGGCAUGGGCAGCCCCCUGCCAGUCCAUGUUCCCCUGACGCUUCCCACUCCCAUGAUAUAAAUGAGGAAAUAUGCAGACUGGCUAGGAGCUGGUGGUGUUUGGAGACCCCUCUUGGAGUCAGCUGCUGUGUGGAACAGAAGCACCCCCAACCAAUAAAUGGGUAUUGACUUGCA